CGAAACCAGGUGAUCUACCCAUGUCCAGGAUGAAGGUAAGGUAAUACUUACUGGAGGUCCGAACCCACGCACGUUGAAAAGUGCGGGGAUGAGGUGUGGGUAGCGGAGAAAUUCCAAUCGAACUUGGAGAUAGCUGGUUCUCUCCGAAAUAGCUUUAGGGCUAGCCUCGAGGUAAAGAGUCAUGGAGGUAGAGCACUGUUUGGACUAGGGGCCCUUCUCGGGUUACCGAAUUCAGAUAAACUCCGAAUGCCAUGUACUUAUACUCGGGAGUCAGACUGCGAGUGAUAAGAUCCGUAGUCGAAAGGGAAACAGCCCAGACCACCAGUUAAGGUCCCCAAAUAUAUGUUAAGUGGAAAAGGAUGUGGGGUUGCUUAGACAACCAGGAUGUUGGCUUAGAAGCAGCCACCAUUGAAAGAGUGCGUAAUAGCUCACUGGUCGAGUGACCCCGCGCCGAAAAUGUACCGGGGCUAAACAUAUUA
This 479-nucleotide ribosomal RNA is filed under the name Listeria monocytogenes. RNAcentral describes it as "bacterial LSU rRNA". It matches the Rfam family "Bacterial large subunit ribosomal RNA", at positions 716 to 1193 of the family's 2925-position model. The record is from RNAcentral. Lineage: Bacteria; Bacillati; Bacillota; Bacilli; Caryophanales; Listeriaceae.